Molecule: ribosomal RNA, 201 nt
Filed under: Pasteurella multocida
Lineage: Bacteria; Pseudomonadati; Pseudomonadota; Gammaproteobacteria; Pasteurellales; Pasteurellaceae
Description: partial 16S ribosomal RNA
Rfam family: Bacterial small subunit ribosomal RNA
Source: RNAcentral
UUGAAUUGAAGAGUUUGAUCAUGGCUCAGAUUGAACGCUGGCGGCAGGCUUAACACAUGCAAGUCGAACGGUAGCAGGAAGAAAGCUUGCUUUCUUUGCUGACGAGUGGCGGACGGGUGAGUAAUGCUUGGGAAUCUGGCUUAUGGAGGGGGAUAACUGUGGGAAACUGCAGCUAAUACCGCGUAUUCUCUGAGGAGGAAA